RNAcentral lists this long non-coding RNA (3477 nucleotides) under Hordeum vulgare. RNAcentral describes it as "long non-coding RNA (HVUL_LNC000837)". Lineage: Eukaryota; Viridiplantae; Streptophyta; Magnoliopsida; Poales; Poaceae. The record is from RNAcentral.
GCCUUUCGACCUCCUCCCACAAGAGGAGAAGGCCGAGGCAUCAUGGCUGACGAGCGCUCGGCUUCGCCACUACUGCUUCAUGGAGGGGAUAAGAGCAUCCCCUACCCCCUCUUGCUCCACCCGAAACCCUAGCACCCCCUCGAUCCCCUCCCAACCCUAGCGCCUUUCUUUCCCCGCCCCUCUCGUGGUUACGAGCUUGAAUUGAACGCCACCCGGGACUUGCCGUCUUUGUCAGUCGGAGACCCUCCGCUGCCUCGAUCUGCUGUCCAAGAGCUGCUCCGACCUCAUCUCCAUCAUCUACGCGCACCAAGCCGUUGCCAAGGCGCCGGAACAUCGUCACUUCGCCAUUCGUCUCUGCGACGUCCGACGUCGUCGUCGACAGCCGUUGCCCCGGUUGGGUCUUCGCCACCGGAGCCUCCUCGACCUUCCAAGCUCGUAAACAAGCACCGCGGUGAGCCCGGCGUCCGAACCCAUCUUCCUCGUUCUGUUCCCAACCGUAAGCCACCGCACCACUAUGCCCAUGCUCCCGACGAGCUCACGGUCCCCGCGCUUGGCCGCAGCCCGCCUUUGCCGUCCGCGUGCACGACUGCCCCAUGGCCUCCGUCCGCUCGUGCUCACCCCGUGUUAGUCGCGCCUCGCCUCGCCCAGCUCGCGUCCUCGCUACAGCAGCCGGCCGCUGCUAGCCCCCCGAGGGCUGCCAUCCGGCCACCGGCCGCCUGCAGCCGCCCCUGUGUGCCCCGCCUCGCUGGCCCCGCCGGCACUCUGCUCCCUAGUGAGCACUGCCGGCCUCACCCUGAUUUGGUUAAGUGGGGCUAAUCCCCACCCCACUUAGCCCCCCACUCACUCGCCAAGAGGGCACAUGCCUUGUUAAUCGAAGAAAGAUAAUUAAUUACUUAAUUAACUUCUGACUAAAACUGUUUAAUUAACUAAACUAAUUAUUUUAAACUAACACCAACAUGUGGGCCCUGUCACUUUAGUUAAUUUAUUUAGCUAAUUUAAUUCCUCUUAAACCCACUAUCUAUGACACGUGCGGUCGAGCAGUCAGUUUCACUAGUCAACACAAACGGUUGAUUGCUAAUGUCAUGCUGACAUCUUGCUCAUGUAAUAAGUCAAUUUUGUAUUAAAAUAAAUAGAUAUUAAUUUUGUAAUAUUAUUAAAACUUUGAAAAUUAUACAUGAAAGUUUCUUAGAAAACGAGAAGAAUCUGAAUACUCUUUCCGUUCAUGUGUCACAUGCUUCUAGCAUGAUGAACAUGGACACUUUAGGGUCAUGAUCACGUGUCCGGUAGUAGCAUGAGACCCGGGAAAUAUCGUCAGAUAUUUGCCCACUCCGUCCAUGACGUGUAGUAGUGCGUUAGCUCAUGCAUAGCAGUGCAUAUUGCCAUGUCAUGCAUAGUGAUGCAUUUGUUUGCCUUUAUUUAUUGGUUCCUCCCCAUCUUCUCUCUUGUAGAUGUCGAAGCUGACGCUGCUACCGGGUAUGAUUACCUCCCUGACGACUAGCCUUUUGCAGUAGAGCAACAAGGCAAGCAAACCCGCCUUGAUCAUUCAUAUAUCACACAUUCUUUCUGCCUCAUGCUUGCAUUAUAUAUUGCAACUAUUGUAGAUAGCUCCCAUUCUGAUGCAUAGCCUGUUUUUCAUAAACAGUCGUUGUAUCCUGUUGCAUAUUAAAUGCUUAGUAUAGGUGGAUUGGUGAUCCCCAGCGACCCCACUUAGUCCCAUUUGCCCCUGCUUCAUCAUCGAAGACUCGAUGACUCGAAGACCCGAAGACUCGAUCAACUGGUCGACUACUCAUGACCCGUCACAUCACUUCACAUCCCCUUAGUUGUGCGACUCUACAGAGCUACUAUCGAGUACCGAGGGUGACACCUCAUUAUGUACUCCUGAUGUUAACACUGUAGUGUAGUUAACCGGAGGUGGAUUAUGGAGGGUGAUUCCUCCUUCACCACUUCCGAUAAAGACUGUGUCGUGCAACCCCUCAAGCAUGAAUCAUCGAGGAUGAUUCCUCCCUGGUCACCUUGAUAGUUACAUAGAUUGGAAUCCAUCGAGGGUGAUACCUCGGAUUCCUGUGAUGUUAUGUAGACACGGUUACUUUCACUUUACUACUGGGAACAUGAUGAAAUGUGUGGUGCGGGUGGAUUCCCGCAUGAUUGUGACGAGGCGUGGCCGCGCAUUCUUGGCCCUUGCCACACAUCAUCGAGACGGGGCAACGGGACCACAUAUCGUGGAUCGCUAAUCAUCGCCGUAGUUAAUUAAAACAUUAUUGGGAUUGGGAAUUUGAUCUGAGUUGGUCAAUUGGCAUUUUUUGCACUAACCUUCACGCGGGAAUAGUUAUGGGAACUCAAAGUAGUGGUAUCAGCUGAUGCUCUCCGAACGUCAGCAAUGGAGUAGCUUGCGCCCGUGUGCUCCGUGUAAGCAUUGAUCUUGUAUAAGAGGUGCUUGGACUAACCUCAGCCGCCCUCACAACGUGUAGGAGUGGAAAGGGCGAUGGGCCCAUUACCCUUGCGCGCUUAGGAUGUAGACCAACGGGCUGGCCUCUAUGCUGAGCCUAUGUAGGGCUACAACGUAUGGAUCUCCCGAGGCCGGGCAUGACCCAGGAAAGUGUGUACGUCCGGAGUUGAUCGAGCAAGCUGGCAAAUGUGGUGCACCCCUGCAGGGAUGAUUGAACUAUUCAAAUAGUCAUGUCCACAGUAAUAGGACGACUUGGAGUUGUAUCCCGAACUAAUACAACUAGGACUCUGGCAUAACUUGAAUGAUUGGCUUCGAGAUUGCUUUCUCGUAGCGACUCAAGAAAGGAUCUCUUGACGUGACUUAAUAAAUUUGUUGUAACAAUAUGACUACAUAUGUGUUUGUAAUCUACACUCUUAUAAUGCUGCAAGACACUGAAGAUGCUAGUCUUUGGUAGGACUAGACCUUCUCUCUAUUCUUGCAUUUCUGUAGUAAGUCCAAAGAUAUAGCCCCAUUCCUUUGGUAAUCAUGCAUACCUUAGCAUAGUUCUGAUGUCAGUCUUGCGAGUACUUUGGAUGAGUACUCACCGUUGCUUUGCUCCCCCUUUUCCUCUUGAUACGAUUGCCACGACCAGAUGGUGGAGCCCAGGAGAUGGCUGAUCCCACCGACUACUACUACCCCGACGGAGCCUACUACUACACGGAGGCCCCUCACGACUAGGAGUAGUUAGGAGGCUCCCAGGCAGGAGGCCUUGCCUCUUCGAUCCAUGUUAUGUUCGUGCCAGCCUUCUUCAGGGAAAACUUGUUGACUUAUGUCUGUACUCACAUAUUAUUUGCUUUAGCUAACUCGUGUGUAUCAGAGCUUAUGUAUUCGAGCCCUCGAGGCCCUAGCUUAUAAUAUGAAUCUUAUAUGACUUUAAUUUGUGUCUAGAAUUGUGUUGUCAUAUCUUCCCGUGAGUCCCUAAUGUUGGUCGUACGCAUUUGCUUGUAUGAUUAGUGUAUGAUUAAGUUGGAGGCGUCACAAGUUGGUAUCAG